RNAcentral lists this unclassified non-coding RNA (318 nucleotides) under fungal sp. Its description in RNAcentral is "partial internal transcribed spacer region". The stretch from base 1 to 46 matches the Rfam family "Eukaryotic small subunit ribosomal RNA", at positions 1786 to 1831 of the family's 1831-position model. The record is from RNAcentral. Lineage: Eukaryota; Fungi.
AAGUCGUAACAAGGUUUCCGUAGGUGAACCUGCGGAAGGAUCAUUAUCACAAAUGAUUUUUAACUCUCUUAAUCCAGAGUUAAACCUCUUCUUAAACCAAUCUAACAAAAUGUGAAAUUGUUUUAUUUUAAGCAACUUGGCAACAAGUUCUUAAAAUUAUUAACCAAUUGAACCCUUUUCUAUAAAUGUUAUUUUAUUUUAAUUUAGUUCUGAAAUAUUAUUACAAACUUUGAUCCUAAUACGAUCGAAAUGUAAUACAUUACAUUACGAAACAAUUUAUAAAUAAAACAACUCUUAGCAACGGAUAUCUUGGUUCUC